This 464-nucleotide ribosomal RNA is filed under the name uncultured bacterium. RNAcentral describes it as "partial 16S ribosomal RNA". It matches the Rfam family "Bacterial small subunit ribosomal RNA", at positions 339 to 795 of the family's 1533-position model. The record is from RNAcentral.
CUACGGGUGGCUGCAGUGGGGAAUAUUGCACAAUGGGCGCAAGCCUGAUGCAGCCAUGCCGCGUGUAUGAAGAAGGCCUUCGGGUUGUAAAGUACUUUCAGCGGGGAGGAAGGGAGUAAAGUUAAUACCUUUGCUCAUUGACGUUACCCGCAGAAGAAGCACCGGCUAACUCCGUGCCAGCAGCCGCGGUAAUACGGAGGGUGCAAGCGUUAAUCGGAAUUACUGGGCGUAAAGCGCACGCAGGCGGUUUGUUAAGUCAGAUGUGAAAUCCCCGGGCUCAACCUGGGAACUGCAUCUGAUACUGGCGAGCUUGAGUCUCGUAGAGGGGGGUAGAAUUCCGGGUGUAGCGGUGAAAUGCGUAGAGAUCUGGAGGAAUACCGGUGGCGAAGGCGGCCCCCUGGACGAAGACUGACGCUCAGGUGCGAAAGCGUGGGGAGCAAACAGGAUUAGAUACCCGGGUAGUC